Molecule: ribosomal RNA, 253 nt
Filed under: uncultured bacterium
Lineage: Bacteria
Description: partial 16S ribosomal RNA
Rfam family: Bacterial small subunit ribosomal RNA
Source: RNAcentral
UACAGAGGGUGCAAGCGUUAAUCGGAGUUACUGGGCGUAAAGGGCGCGUAGGCGGUUUGAUUAGUCGGGUGUGAAAGCCCUGGGCUUAACCUGGGAAUUGCAUUCGAUACUGUCAAGCUAGAGUAUGGUAGAGGAAAGCGGAAUUCCACAUGUAGCGGUGAAAUGCGUAGAUAUGUGGAGGAACAUCAGUGGCGAAGGCGGCUUUCUGGACCAAUACUGACGCUGAGGCGCGAAAGCGUGGGGAGCAAACAGG